CCCGUUCCUGUUUCUAGGAAACUGUCGGCUCGAGAGCAGAGAGACUGUGAGGUCAUCGAGAGGCUCAUCAAGUCCUACUUCCUAAUCGUACGAAAAAAUAUCCAGGACAGUGUACCAAAGGCAGUGAUGCACUUCCUGGUGAACCACGUGAAGGACUGUCUGCAGAGCGAGCUGGUGGGCCAGUUAUACAAGACAACCCUGCUGGACGAACUGCUGACGGAGUCCGAGGACAUGGCGCAGAGACGUAACGAGACCGCUGACAUGCUCAAGGCGCUGCAGAAGGCCAGUCAGGUCAUAGCAGAGAUCAGAGAAACUCA
Molecule: long non-coding RNA, 317 nt
Organism: Cynoglossus semilaevis (tongue sole)
Lineage: Eukaryota; Metazoa; Chordata; Actinopteri; Pleuronectiformes; Cynoglossidae
Exons: 3
Source: RefSeq, a predicted model, not a curated record